CAUCGCUUCAGGGCGGGGUGUAAUUCCCCACCGGUGGUCAUUCAAUGUUCAUCUGCAUCAUGCACUUUCAUGCUGCACAAACAAUGAUCAGCCCACGAGCGACCUAAGCACUGUUCAAAUGAUGCGUAUAUGUGGUACAUGCACUAAUGAUUUGCACAGACACGAAGGUUGCAGAUUUGGUGAAACUCCAAAGCCGACGGUUAAAGUCCGGAUGAAAGAAGACGACG
Molecule: non-coding RNA, 227 nt
Filed under: Acinetobacter larvae
Lineage: Bacteria; Pseudomonadati; Pseudomonadota; Gammaproteobacteria; Moraxellales; Moraxellaceae
Description: FMN sequence
Rfam family: FMN riboswitch aptamer (RFN element)
About the family: The RFN element is a highly conserved domain that is found frequently in the 5'-untranslated regions of prokaryotic mRNAs that encode for flavin mononucleotide (FMN) biosynthesis and transport proteins. This element is a metabolite-dependent riboswitch that directly binds FMN in the absence of proteins. In Bacillus subtilis, the riboswitch most likely controls gene expression by causing premature transcription termination within the 5' untranslated region of the ribDEAHT operon and precluding access to the ribosome-binding site of ypaA mRNA.
Source: Rfam by way of RNAcentral